UUUUUCCUGCGUGGUGCGUGAUAUUGUGAUAUUUGGACCUACACACAAAGAAAGGGAGCUUGGACUUCUGCUAUCGGGAUGCAGGCCUCCCGUCGGGAGCUGUCACAGACCCUCCCCAAACGGAUGUUGGAAGCGCAAAGUAGCAGAGAGAGCACCCACCUGUAUAUACAGGGUUAAACAUUGCCUUACACGGCCUCGCGGGGUUCUU
RNAcentral lists this non-coding RNA (208 nucleotides) under Oscillospiraceae bacterium. Its description in RNAcentral is "6S RNA". It matches the Rfam family "6S / SsrS RNA". Rfam says of the family: E. coli 6S RNA was the first non coding RNA to be sequenced, but its function was unknown until recently. It consists of 184 nucleotides that fold into an extended hairpin structure with a large single-stranded internal bulge. Lineage: Bacteria; Bacillati; Bacillota; Clostridia; Eubacteriales; Oscillospiraceae. The record is from RNAcentral.